UCACAUUAGAUAGUAAAGCCUGAGCUGCAGGAGGAGAGCCUGCAGGCCUCGUGGGUAGAAUUGCACCUUCACAACAAUGGGAAUGUGAGUGGAGUUUCAGCCCCAAUUUUUAUUUAUAAUGGUGACAUAAAAAAAAUACUGCUGAAUUUCCAGCAUGAGUCCAGAUAGAGAUAGCUCCAGAAAUUCUCACUGUGACAGCCCAGCUCAUUCAGACACCAUGGGAAACUAACAGCACUUCUGAAACAGACACCCAAAGCACUGGAGAGAAAACCAGAUCUCUAUCUGAGCAAGAUUAUUUUGAGAGAAGUUAAAAAGAUCUUAUGAAAAAGCUCAGAUUAGAUAUAAGAUUGAUCAAGUCAGCCAGAAAAUAGUCCCCUAAAAGCAAUUUCUCUCUAACCACCCAAAGUGCACAGCUACUCUCAGCAUGAGAAACAUGAGCAUUACGAAGAAAGGGGGCAGAUUUUCACAAGAAUUUUAUAGUUUUUUUUUUUCCAUCUCUGCUGCUGUCUCAUUUUCUAGCCACUGAAUGGGGGUUCUACAUUGAAAUAUACCUGAAAACUUCCAACAACACUUUCUG
RNAcentral lists this long non-coding RNA (577 nucleotides) under Homo sapiens (human). RNAcentral's name for it is "non-protein coding lnc-ZNF737-7:1". The record is from RNAcentral. Lineage: Eukaryota; Metazoa; Chordata; Mammalia; Primates; Hominidae.